GACGUAGGGCGCGAGCGUUGUCCGGAUUUAUUGGGCGUAAAGAGCUCGUAGGCGGCUUGUUGCGUCGGCUGUGAAAACCCAUGGCUUAACCGUGGGCUUGCAGCCGAUACGGGCAGGCUAGAGUUCGGUAGGGGAGACUGGAAUUCCUGGUGUAGCGGUGAAAUGCGCAGAUACUAGGAGGAACACCGGUGGCGAAGGCGGGUCUCUGGGGCCGAUACUGACGCUGAGGCGCGACAGCGUGGGGGAGCAAACAGG
RNAcentral lists this ribosomal RNA (255 nucleotides) under uncultured bacterium. Its description in RNAcentral is "partial 16S ribosomal RNA". It matches the Rfam family "Bacterial small subunit ribosomal RNA", at positions 524 to 776 of the family's 1533-position model. The record is from RNAcentral.